This 447-nucleotide long non-coding RNA is filed under the name Homo sapiens (human). RNAcentral's name for it is "HSALNT0250622". The record is from RNAcentral. Lineage: Eukaryota; Metazoa; Chordata; Mammalia; Primates; Hominidae.
GUUUUUCUAAUUUUAAUUUUCUUCUCUACUACUUCUGCUUUGAUUUGCAUUUAGUUUGUUUACAGAUAAUAAGUUAUUCCCCAGCGAGUGUUUGGUUUUAUGGUCAGACUAUUCAAUGAUCUCUGUAAAUGAAUUUAUAGAGAUUUUGUCUCUGUUGGGUGAGAGAGUGUACAGAGUUGGCUAGUCUCUUCUGUUUAUUUGUCUAUUUAAAUCAAAUAACUGAAGAAUUCUUACCCACUGGGAAGAGACAAGCUCUUUGAUACAGACUGCUGGUAUACGGAUAUGUACCCUAACUUCUACUAAUGUGAUGUUCCUGCCUGAGAUUUAAGCGCUGCACAUUAAAAGGAAGAAAACAGACUGGAUCCAUGUUGGUGAAGGUGGAACUAAGGUGAUGGAGCUGAGUGGACAGCUGAGCAUUCUUAAUGCUACCGCCUUGUGUAAGACCCA